This 976-nucleotide ribosomal RNA is filed under the name Escherichia coli. RNAcentral's name for it is "partial 23S ribosomal RNA". It matches the Rfam family "Bacterial large subunit ribosomal RNA", at positions 911 to 1869 of the family's 2925-position model. The record is from RNAcentral. Lineage: Bacteria; Pseudomonadati; Pseudomonadota; Gammaproteobacteria; Enterobacterales; Enterobacteriaceae.
UGUUUCGGCAAGGGGGUCAUCCCGACUUACCAACCCGAUGCAAACUGCGAAUACCGGAGAAUGUUAUCACGGGAGACACACGGCGGGUGCUAACGUCCGUCGUGAAGAGGGAAACAACCCAGACCGCCAGCUAAGGUCCCAAAGUCAUGGUUAAGUGGGAAACGAUGUGGGAAGGCCCAGACAGCCAGGAUGUUGGCUUAGAAGCAGCCAUCAUUUAAAGAAAGCGUAAUAGCUCACUGGUCGAGUCGGCCUGCGCGGAAGAUGUAACGGGGCUAAACCAUGCACCGAAGCUGCGGCAGCGACGCUUAUGCGUUGUUGGGUAGGGGAGCGUUCUGUAAGCCUGUGAAGGUGUGCUGUGAGGCAUGCUGGAGGUAUCAGAAGUGCGAAUGCUGACAUAAGUAACGAUAAAGCGGGUGAAAAGCCCGCUCGCCGGAAGACCAAGGGUUCCUGUCCAACGUUAAUCGGGGCAGGGUGAGUCGACCCCUAAGGCGAGGCCGAAAGGCGUAGUCGAUGGGAAACAGGUUAAUAUUCCUGUACUUGGUGUUACUGCGAAGGGGGGACGGAGAAGGCUAUGUUGGCCGGGCGACGGUUGUCCCGGUUUAAGCGUGUAGGCUGGUUUUCCAGGCAAAUCCGGAAAAUCAAGGCUGAGGCGUGAUGACGAGGCACUACGGUGCUGAAGCAACAAAUGCCCUGCUUCCAGGAAAAGCCUCUAAGCAUCAGGUAACAUCAAAUCGUACCCCAAACCGACACAGGUGGUCAGGUAGAGAAUACCAAGGCGCUUGAGAGAACUCGGGUGAAGGAACUAGGCAAAAUGGUGCCGUAACUUCGGGAGAAGGCACGCUGAUAUGUAGGUGAAGCGACUUGCUCGUGGAGCUGAAAUCAGUCGAAGAUACCAGCUGGCUGCAACUGUUUAUUAAAAACACAGCACUGUGCAAACACGAAAGUGGACGUAUACGGUGUGACGCCUGCCCGGUGC